GAUGAACGCUGGCGGCGUGCCUAAUACAUGCAAGUCGAGCGAACAGACGAGGAGCUUGCUCCUCUGACGUUAGCGGCGGACGGGUGAGUAACACGUGGAUAACCUACCUAUAAGACUGGGAUAACUUCGGGAAACCGGAGCUAAUACCGGAUAAUAUAUUGAACCGCAUGGUUCAAUAGUUAAAGACGGUUUUGCUGUCACUUAUAGAUGGAUCCGCGCCGCAUUAGCUAGUUGGUAAGGUAACGGCUUACCAAGGCGACGAUGCGUAGCCGACCUGAGAGGGUGAUCGGCCACACUGGAACUGAGACACGGUCCAGACUCCUACGGGAGGCAGCAGUAGGGAAUCUUCCGCAAUGGGCGAAAGACUGACGGAGCAACGCCGCGUGAGUGAUGAAGGUCUUCGGAUCGUAAAACUCUGUUAUUAGGGAAGAACAAAUGUGUAAGUAACUAUGCACGUCUUGACGGUACCUAAUCAGAAAGCCACGGCUAACUACGUG
Molecule: ribosomal RNA, 497 nt
Filed under: uncultured bacterium
Lineage: Bacteria
Description: partial 16S ribosomal RNA
Rfam family: Bacterial small subunit ribosomal RNA
Source: RNAcentral